Molecule: long non-coding RNA, 916 nt
Filed under: Cricetulus griseus (Chinese hamster)
Lineage: Eukaryota; Metazoa; Chordata; Mammalia; Rodentia; Cricetidae
Description: lncRNA (ENSCGRG00015041425.1)
Source: RNAcentral
GGCACUGUCUGGCCGGGGACCAGGGCCAACUCACUGACUGUCUGUUGUUUUGGGAAACACCCAAGAACACAUUUUGAGAAACGUGAAAGUAGAAAAUAUUUCAAAACAAAAAGCACGGGGAAACCCGUGCCCACACCCAUCCCCUCAGCCUCCAAGCUCUGUACUGGGUUGCUAUGCUGUGGCUGCAGCCCUGCUUUUCUUCCCUGACUGCAGGGGUGCUGGGUCCUGCUUCUGCCACCCUGGCCACCGUUGCAGUCCCACUUUCUCUAGGACCUGCCUGAGUCAGGUGAUCUGACAAGCGGCUUCUCUUUCUUCAGGAGGUGAGGUCGGCAGACUAGGAUUCCUGAGCAAACCAGGAAAGUUCCAUCCUGCUAGUAUCCAGGAUGUGGGGCUGGGCAAAGGCCAGGCCGCAGCCCACUUCGGGCCCAAAUGGAAGAUGAUGUCAGAGGGAGCCAGGGAGUGUUUCCACCGAGUGACUCUUCCCAAUGUCUGUGGCUGGCAAAAUGGUUAGCCUGGCCCAGUAUCGUCACAGAGGAAUAGAAGCAGCUGGGUUUCCAGGUCACGAGAGAGGAGACAGGGUUUCUCUGUGUACACUGGCCUGGAACUCACAGAGAGACGGUAUCACAAAAGUAAAACAUACAGAGACUGACUGGACCUGACCUUUGCCCUUCACAUAUGCAUGCACAGUUUCAGAGGUUUGGUCCAUUAUCGUCAUGGCAGGAAGCAUGGUGGCACACAGGCAGACACGGUGCUGGAGAAAGAGCUGACCGUUCUCUAUCUGGAUUCUCAGGCAGCAGGAAGAGAGAGCGAGGGCGCUGGGACUGGACUCAAGCUUUUGAAACCCCAAAGCCCACCCACCUGCAUUGACACACUUUCUCCAUUAAGGCCCCACCUCCUAAUGCCACUCCAUAAGCAC